GAUGAACGCUGGCGGCGUGCUUAACACAUGCAAGUCGAACGAUGAAGCCCAGCUUGCUGGGUGGUUUAGUGGCGAACGGGUGAGUAACACGUGAGUAACCUGCCCUUGACUCUGGGAUAAGCCUGUGAAACUGGGUCUAAUACUUGAUAUGACUUCUCAUCGCAUGGUGGGGGGUGGAAAGAUUUAUUGGUCUUGGAUGGACUCGAGGCCUAUCAGCUUGUUGGUGGGGUAAUGGCUCACCAAGGCCACGACGGGUAGCCGGCCUGUGAGGGUGACCGGCGACACUGGGACUGAGACACGGACCAGACGCCUACGGGAGGCAGCAGUGGGGAAUAUUGCAGAAUGGGCGCAAGCCUGAUGCAGAGACGCCGCGUGAGGGAUGACGGCCUUCGGGGUGUAAACCUCUUUCAGUAGGGAAGAAGCGAGAGUGACGGUACCUGCAGAAGAAGCGCCGGCUAACUACGUG
Molecule: ribosomal RNA, 466 nt
Filed under: uncultured bacterium
Lineage: Bacteria
Description: partial 16S ribosomal RNA
Rfam family: Bacterial small subunit ribosomal RNA
Source: RNAcentral